UACGUAGGUGGCAAGCGUUGUCCGGAAUUACUGGGUGUAAAGGGAGCGCAGGCGGGAAGCCAAGUCAGCUGUGAAAACUACGGGCUUAACUUGUAGACUGCAGUUGAAACUGGUUUUCUUGAGUGAAGUAGAGGUUGGCGGAAUUCCGAGUGUAGCGGUGAAAUGCGUAGAUAUUCGGAGGAACACCGGUGGCGAAGGCGGCUUACUGGACAGAAACUGACACUGAGGCUCGAAAGCGUGGGGAGCAAACAGG
RNAcentral lists this ribosomal RNA (253 nucleotides) under uncultured bacterium. Its description in RNAcentral is "partial 16S ribosomal RNA". It matches the Rfam family "Bacterial small subunit ribosomal RNA", at positions 524 to 776 of the family's 1533-position model. The record is from RNAcentral.